Molecule: ribosomal RNA, 253 nt
Filed under: uncultured bacterium
Lineage: Bacteria
Description: partial 16S ribosomal RNA
Rfam family: Bacterial small subunit ribosomal RNA
Source: RNAcentral
UACAGAGGUGGCAAGCGUUGUUCGGAAUUACUGGGCGUAAAGGGCGCGUAGGCGGUCUUGUCAGUCCCUUGUGAAAUCCCCCGGCUCAACUGGGGAACUGCACGGGAAACAGCAGGGCUUGAGUUCGGGAGAGGGAAGCGGAAUUCCGGGUGUAGCGGUGAAAUGCGCAGAUAUCAGGAGGAACACCGGUGGCGAAGGCGGGUCUCUGGGCCGUAACUGACGCUGAGGAGCGAAAGCAUGGGGAGCGAACAGG